This is a long non-coding RNA of Thalassophryne amazonica, 485 nucleotides long. RefSeq lists it as uncharacterized. The record is from RefSeq and is a predicted model, not a curated record. Lineage: Eukaryota; Metazoa; Chordata; Actinopteri; Batrachoidiformes; Batrachoididae. The transcript is spliced from 3 exons.
UUCUUUUAGCCCUUUGAUGGUGUUGUUGCUGGGGUCCAGGAUCAGAACUAUCUGGUGGAUGACAAUGCUGAUCUGGUGGAUGACCCAGUGCUGCUACAGUAGAGAUGUCUCCCCACAGCACUGGGAGAAGUUGCACCAUUUUCUUCAUACGCCCUGGUGCCUAGGCGCUUUGUGGAGGUUUUAUGAGUUACCAUGUGUUUGUUCAGGUUACUUUUUUGUCCAAAUCUUUGACCACAUUCAGAACAGACAAAUGAUUUUUGUCCCGUAUGAGUUAUCAUGUGUCGGUUCAGGUUGCCCUUUAGUCCAAAUCUUAGACCACAUUCAGAACAGACAAACUGCUUUUGUCCUGUAUGAUUUAUCAUGUGGUUGGUCAGGUAGCUCUUUCGUCCAAAUCUUCGACCACAUUCAGAACAGACAAACUGCUUUUGUCCUGUAUGAAUGAUCAUGUGUGUUUUCAGGUUGCCCUUUAGUCCAAAUCUUCGACC